UUGAACGCUGGCGGCCUGCCUUACCCCUGCCAGUCGCACGGUAACGGGCCUUCGGGUGCCGGCGAGUGGCGAACGGGUGAGUAAUACAUCGGAACGUGCCCGAUCGUGGGGGAUAACGAGGCGAACGCUUUGCUAAUACCGCAUACGAUCUACGGAUGAAAGCAGGGGACCGCCAUGCCUUGCGCGGACGGCGCGGCCGAUGGCAGGUUAGUUAGUUGGUGGGUUAAAAGCUUACCAAGCCGCCGACCUGGAGCUGGUCUGAGAGGAUGAUCCGCCACACUGGGGCUGGGACAGGGCCAAGAGUCCUACGGGAGGCAGCAGUGGGGAAUGUGGGACAAUGGGCGCAAGCCUGAUCCAGCGAUGCCGCGUGUAGGAUGAAGGCCUUCGGGUUGUAAACUGCUUUUGUACGGAGCGAAAAGCUUUCUUUUAAUACGGGAGGGUCAUGACGGUACCGGAAGAAUAAGCACCGGCUAACUACGUG
Molecule: ribosomal RNA, 481 nt
Filed under: uncultured bacterium
Lineage: Bacteria
Description: partial 16S ribosomal RNA
Rfam family: Bacterial small subunit ribosomal RNA
Source: RNAcentral